AUUGAACGCUGGCGGCAUGCUUUACACAUGCAAGUCGAACGGUAACAGGUUAAGCUGACGAGUGGCGAACGGGUGAGUAAUGCAUCGGAACGUGCCCGAUCGUGGGGGAUAACGCAGCGAAAGCUGCGCUAAUACCGCAUACGAUCUGAGGAUGAAAGCGGGGGACCGUAAGGCCUCGCGCGAUCGGAGCGGCCGAUGUCAGAUUAGGUAGUUGGUGGGGUAAAGGCUCACCAAGCCAACGAUCUGUAGCUGGUCUGAGAGGACGACCAGCCACAUUGGGACGGAGAAACGGCCCAGACUCCUACGGGGGGCAGCAGUGGGGAAUUUUGGACAAUGGGCGAAAGCCUGAUCCAGCAAUGCCGCGUGCAGGAAGAAGGCCUUCGGGUUGUAAACUGCUUUUGUACGGAGCGAAAAGGCCCUCUCUAAUACAGUGGGCUCAUGACGGUACCGUAAGAAUAAGCACCGGCUAACUACGUGCCAGCCGCCGCCGUAA
RNAcentral lists this ribosomal RNA (493 nucleotides) under uncultured bacterium. RNAcentral's name for it is "partial 16S ribosomal RNA". It matches the Rfam family "Bacterial small subunit ribosomal RNA", at positions 30 to 523 of the family's 1533-position model. The record is from RNAcentral.